Molecule: ribosomal RNA, 497 nt
Filed under: uncultured bacterium
Lineage: Bacteria
Description: partial 16S ribosomal RNA
Rfam family: Bacterial small subunit ribosomal RNA
Source: RNAcentral
GAUGAACGCUGGCGGCGUGCCUAAUACAUGCAAGUCGAGCGAACGGACGAGAAGCUUGCGUCGCUGAUGUUAGCGGCGGACGUGUGAGUAACACGUGGAUAACCUACCUAUAAGACUGGGAUAACUUCGGGAAACCGGAGCUAAUACCGGAGAAUAUUUUGAACCGCAUUGUUCAAAGGUGAAAGACGGUCUUGCUGGCACUUAUAGAUGGAUCCGCGCUGUAUUAGCUAGUUGGUAAGGUAACGGCUUACCAAGGGAAGGAUGCAUAGCCGACCUGAGAGGGUGAUCGGCCACACUGGAACUGAGACACGGUCCAGAGUCCUACGGGAGGCCGCAGUAGGGAAUCGUCCGCAAUGGGCGAAAGCCUGACGGAGCAACGCCGCGUGAGUGAUGACGGUCUUCGGAUCGUAAAACUCUGUUAUGAGGGAAGAACAUAUGUGUAAGUAACUGUGCCCAUCUUGACGGUACCUAAUCAGAAAGCCACGGCUAACUACGUG